AGUAAUGUAUGGGGAUCUGCCUGAUGGGGGGGGAUAACUACUGGAAACGGUAGCUAAUACCGCAUAAUGUCUACGGACCAAAGCGGGGGACCUCCGGGCCUCGCGCCAUCAGAUGAACCCAUAUGGGAUUAGCUAGUAGGUGGGGUAAUGGCUCACCUAGGCGACGAUCCCUAGCUGGUCUGAGAGGAUGAUCAGCCACACUGGGACUGAGACACGGCCCAG
This 222-nucleotide ribosomal RNA is filed under the name uncultured bacterium. Its description in RNAcentral is "partial 16S ribosomal RNA". It matches the Rfam family "Bacterial small subunit ribosomal RNA", at positions 109 to 334 of the family's 1533-position model. The record is from RNAcentral.